UAUAAAAAUCCAGUCCGUGAUAAAUAAAUUGCGGACUGCACAAUUUAAAAUAAAAUACAAUGGACCGUGAAUUAAACGAAUUUAACUAACGAUUCUCCCUGAUAUUAAUUCAAUUACAAAAUAAAGAUCCAGCAGAUAUCUUCAACCUCCGUAAUCUACAAAUAAAAUACCAAAUAAAAUCAAUUAAAUCAAAAACCCCCUCAAUACAUGUCUAAACCGUUCUUCCCUCUCUCCCCACUCCCCAAAUCUCUCCAACCUCUCAACUAAAUCAUCUACUCCUCUAUAUUAGUUGCUGCACAUUUCGUCCCUCCCAUCCCUGCAUCAAACAAAGAAUUCUCUUCAAAUUCCUACUCAAGGUAAUCUUGCAAACUCCAUCUCUGUACACGUUUUUGCUUCUGAAUCAACUCGUCAAACUCAUUGAAAUUUUUGAAUAGGACCGAGACAGAGAUUCAAGAACCAUUCCUUUCAAAUCCUUGCAGAUUUUGAUUUCUCAUUCACAGAGGUGAGACUUCACAAGGGAAUCGAGAUACCAAAGGGAAGGAAGUGUAGAGAAUUAAGCAAUUGAGGUUGAGCGGCGACGAGAGUACGGUGGUGUUGAGCAAGUCAAUUGGUAAAUGAACUAUUGUUUUUGAAUUAUGGGUGUCGUUGUGUCUUCACACAUGACGUCACUCUUUCUCUUGGUCGUUUCCGCUAUGACAUUUCUUUCACUUAUCGUUUAUUGGGCUUGCAACCUAAAUUAUUUGGAUAUUGAAUAUUUGGGAUUUUACUAAUUUAUGUCAAAUUCUUGGUCGUUUUAUUUGAAUAUUAAUUGUUGGUCAAGCUCGUUAUUAAAACCCUAGUCCUUUUCAUCUUUUUAUUUAAUUUUCUUAAUCACGAUCGCCCAUAUUUAUUAACCCUAAAGGGCGGUCGUGACAUGUACA
Salvia splendens (bonfire salvia) is the source of this 920-nucleotide long non-coding RNA. RefSeq lists it as uncharacterized. The transcript is spliced from 3 exons. Lineage: Eukaryota; Viridiplantae; Streptophyta; Magnoliopsida; Lamiales; Lamiaceae. The record is from RefSeq and is a predicted model, not a curated record.